AUAUAAGGACCAAUUCUCCUUUACAUUGAAAGCCUCUUCUUCAAAGGCUCAAACUCAUAGCCAUUCAAUUUCCUUUCAGCCAUGAGAGAAAAGAGAAGAAUUAUAUUCAAGAUUUGGUUAUAAUUAAUCCAUUGCAACUGGAGGAGGCAUCCAAAGGGAUCGCAUUGAUCCCAAAUCUAAUUAAGUCCCUAGCUACUUAAUUAACAACUUAAUUUCCUUAAUAUCUCAUAAUAUUUGGGAUCAUGCUAUCCCUUUGGAUUCAUCCUU
This 267-nucleotide long non-coding RNA is filed under the name Medicago truncatula (barrel medic). Its description in RNAcentral is "lncRNA gene32546". The stretch from base 140 to 267 matches the Rfam family "mir-393 microRNA precursor family". The record is from RNAcentral. Lineage: Eukaryota; Viridiplantae; Streptophyta; Magnoliopsida; Fabales; Fabaceae.